Molecule: ribosomal RNA, 229 nt
Filed under: uncultured bacterium
Lineage: Bacteria
Description: partial 16S ribosomal RNA
Rfam family: Bacterial small subunit ribosomal RNA
Source: RNAcentral
CGGGGUGAGUAAUGUCUGGGAAACUGCCUGAUGGAGGGGGAUAACUACUGGAAACGGUAGCUAAUACCGCAUAACGUCUUCGGACCAAAGUGGGGGACCUUCGGGCCUCACGCCAUCGGAUGUGCCCAGAUGGGAUUAGCUAGUAGGUGGGGUAAUGGCUCACCUAGGCGGCGAUCCCUAGCUGGUCUGAGAGGAUGACCAGCCACACUGGAACUGAGACACGGUCCAG